Molecule: ribosomal RNA, 484 nt
Filed under: uncultured bacterium
Lineage: Bacteria
Description: partial 16S ribosomal RNA
Rfam family: Bacterial small subunit ribosomal RNA
Source: RNAcentral
AUUGAACGCUGGCGGCAGGCCUAACACAUGCAAGUCGAGCGGAUGAAGGGAGCUUGCUCCUGGUUUCCUCGGCGGACGGGUGAGUAAGGCCUAUGAAUCUGCCUCUUCGUGGUGGAUAACGUCCGCUAACGGGCGCUAAUACUGCAUACGCCCAGCGUCAGAAAGUGAGGGAUCUUCGGACCUCACGCUAUCAGAUGAGCCUAGGUCGGAUUAGCUAGUUGGUGGGGUAAGGGCCUACCAAGGCGACGAUCCGUAACUGGUCUGAGAGGAUGAUCAGUCACACUGGAACUGAGACACGGUCCAGACUCCUACGGGAGGCAGCAGUGGGGAAUAUUGGACAAUGGGCGAAAGCCUGAUCCAGCCAUGCCGCGUGUGUGAAGAAGGUCUUCGGAUUGUAAAGCACUUUCAGUUGGGAGGAAGGGAAGUAAGUUAAUACCUUGCUGUUUUGACGUUACCAGCAGAAGAAGCACCGGCUAACUUCGUG